Molecule: ribosomal RNA, 253 nt
Filed under: uncultured bacterium
Lineage: Bacteria
Description: partial 16S ribosomal RNA
Rfam family: Bacterial small subunit ribosomal RNA
Source: RNAcentral
UACGUAGGGGGCAAGCGUUGUCCGGAUUUAUUGGGCGUAAAGAGCGUGUAGGCGGCUAGGUAGGUCCGUUGUGAAAACUCGAGGCUCAACCUCGAGCUGUCGAUGGAAACCAUCUGGCUAGAGUCCGGAAGAGGAGAGUGGAAUUCCUGGUGUAGCGGUGAAAUGCGCAGAUAUCAGGAGGAACGCCGGUGGCGAAAGCGAUUCUCUGGCCCGUUCCUGACACUGAGGCGCGAAAGCUAGGGGAGCAAACAGG